UGGAAGCUCGUCGGGCUCAUAACCCGGAGGUCGCAGGUUCAAAUCCUGUCCCCGCAA
This 57-nucleotide transfer RNA is filed under the name Caudoviricetes sp. Its description in RNAcentral is "tRNA-Leu". It matches the Rfam family "tRNA", at positions 16 to 71 of the family's 71-position model. From Rfam's summary of the family: Transfer RNA (tRNA) molecules are approximately 80 nucleotides in length. Their secondary structure includes four short double-helical elements and three loops (D, anti-codon, and T loops). Further hydrogen bonds mediate the characteristic L-shaped molecular structure. tRNAs have two regions of fundamental functional importance: the anti-codon, which is responsible for specific mRNA codon recognition, and the 3' end, to which the tRNAs corresponding amino acid is attached (by aminoacyl-tRNA synthetases). tRNAs cope with the degeneracy of the genetic code in two manners: having more than one tRNA (with a specific anti-codon) for a particular amino acid; and 'wobble' base-pairing, i.e. permitting non-standard base-pairing at the 3rd anti-codon position. The record is from RNAcentral. Lineage: Duplodnaviria; Heunggongvirae; Uroviricota; Caudoviricetes.